CCACCAGGUGUCACGCCCUGAUGUGUUUCACCUGUUGUCAUGUCUCCACCCUCCACCAGGUGUCACGCCCUGAUGUGUUUCACCUGUUGUCAUGUCUCUACCCUCCACCAGGUGUUCCUGGUUCCCCGUUAAAUACUCCAUCUGUGUAUUUAACCCCUGUUCUCUGUUCUGUCAGUUGCCAGAUUGUCUUGUCUAGUACAGUCGUUUCCGGUGUACCUUGUUUCUAGUGUUCUCCCCGUUGCCCAUUUCGCCUAUCUGUCUUCCCUGUGUUUGGAUUCUGCCUGUUUGUUUCCCCGACCGACUCGGCUGUUUGACGCAGUGUACCUCUGCCAUUGUGUUUUGUUGCCAGCCUUUGCAUAUCUACUGCCUACGAGACUGCUUUUCCCUGAACCUGUUAUUAAACAUUUCAUACGGAAUCUA
Long non-coding RNA from Esox lucius (northern pike), 420 nucleotides. RefSeq lists it as uncharacterized. The record is from RefSeq and is a predicted model, not a curated record. Lineage: Eukaryota; Metazoa; Chordata; Actinopteri; Esociformes; Esocidae. The transcript is spliced from 2 exons.